Molecule: long non-coding RNA, 681 nt
Organism: Quercus lobata
Lineage: Eukaryota; Viridiplantae; Streptophyta; Magnoliopsida; Fagales; Fagaceae
Exons: 2
Source: RefSeq, a predicted model, not a curated record
UACUCUACUUUAAUAUAAGUAGAAGAUGCUAUAUUGGAUUAGAAGGAGAGUUAAAAAGAAUUUGGUAAUAAAGAAAGGAAGAUGCCAAAACAAAGCUUGCUUCACUAGAUGGAAACUAGAAUUAUUGAGUUGUCAUGUCCUUUUUUUAAAGUGUAAACUGGGGGUAAAGAAUAGUCCCCACCGACAUGUUACCCUUUGUUUAUCCAGCUUAAAGAAAGCUCUUUCAAAUACAUCUUAUUCUCAAUUAACUUCCAUAGUUUCUCAACCUGGUUCCCAGCUAACCACAUUUACAAGAAACUAGGUUUUCCUAAGUACACAAGAAAAUAUGGCUACAGAAGCACCAAGCUGGGCAGAUCAAUGGGGUGCUGGAGGAAUAGGUGCCAUGGGGGAAGAAGACAACAGUAAUACCCAAAAAGAAAACGGCAAUAACAAGAAGGGCAAUGCAAAAGGUGGGCUUGACAAAGCCAAAGCAACUGCAAUGGUGGGAGCACAAAAGAUUAAGAGCGGGGCAUCUGCUGGCAUCAAAUGGGUCAAGAAUCAAUGCCAGAAAAAAAGCACUUCCUCUUCUAAAUGAACAUGCAGAUUGUUUAAUUUCCAUUUUAUUAAAAAGCAGAAUCAAUGGAAUGUUUGCAGUUUGUACUACUGUUGAAUUUGAAUGCAGACCAUGGUUUUAUGGAGUCA